CGCCUGCUGCCUUUGGACUAUGGCCCCCUUUUAAAAGACUUUAUUUUUGCCUGCAGAAAAGCUGUAUUCGUGCUUUUCUGCCUGGGGUUCAGUCGAUUUGUUUGAAUGUGUUAUACCCCAGAUAGGAAUCCCAUGGAGCCCAUUUGUAUGAAACUGACUGUAAAGACUUUGGCUCCAUGGCGAUUAAACUGUAUUCGUGUGGUCUGAGCGCCAUUCACUUAAUAAUGUGCGCUCAGACCUGAGCUAUCUGGGGAUAUGUUAC
Pelobates cultripes (western spadefoot toad) is the source of this 262-nucleotide non-coding RNA. NCBI's taxonomy places the organism in Eukaryota, Metazoa, Chordata, Amphibia, Anura, Pelobatidae. The record is from the annotation of a GenBank genome assembly.